Molecule: ribosomal RNA, 568 nt
Filed under: Escherichia coli
Lineage: Bacteria; Pseudomonadati; Pseudomonadota; Gammaproteobacteria; Enterobacterales; Enterobacteriaceae
Description: partial 23S ribosomal RNA
Rfam family: Bacterial large subunit ribosomal RNA
Source: RNAcentral
CGAAUGCUGACAUAAGUAACGAUAAAGCGGGUGAAAAGCCCGCUCGCCGGAAGACCAAGGGUUCCUGUCCAACGUUAAUCGGGGCAGGGUGAGUCGACCCCUAAGGCGAGGCCGAAAGGCGUAGUCGAUGGGAAACAGGUUAAUAUUCCUGUACUUGGUGUUACUGCGAAGGGGGGACGGAGAAGGCUAUGUUGGCCGGGCGACGGUUGUCCCGGUUUAAGCGUGUAGGCUGGUUUUCCAGGCAAAUCCGGAAAAUCAAGGCUGAGGCGUGAUGACGAGGCACUACGGUGCUGAAGCAACAAAUGCCCUGCUUCCAGGAAAAGCCUCUAAGCAUCAGGUAACAUCAAAUCGUACCCCAAACCGACACAGGUGGUCAGGUAGAGAAUACCAAGGCGCUUGAGAGAACUCGGGUGAAGGAACUAGGCAAAAUGGUGCCGUAACUUCGGGAGAAGGCACGCUGAUAUGUAGGUGAGGUCCCUCGCGGAUGGAGCUGAAAUCAGUCGAAGAUACCAGCUGGCUGCAACUGUUUAUUAAAAACACAGCACUGUGCAAACACGAAAGUGGACGU